Molecule: ribosomal RNA, 250 nt
Filed under: uncultured prokaryote
Description: partial 16S ribosomal RNA
Rfam family: Bacterial small subunit ribosomal RNA
Source: RNAcentral
UACGGAGGGUGCAAGCGUUGUCCGGAAUCAUUGGGCGUAAAGCGUUCGUAGGCGGUUUAUCAAGUCUGGUGUUAAAUCCCGAGGCUCAACUUCGGAUCUGCACUGGAUACUGGUAGGCUAGAAUGAGGUAGAGGUAAUGGGAAUUCCUGGUGUAACGGUGAAAUGUACAGAUAUCAGGAGGAACAUCGGUGGCGUAAGCGCAUUACUGGGCCUUUAUUGACGCUGAGGAACGAAAGCUAGGGUAGCAAAC